AGAAUUAAAUAUCUCCAGAAUAUAUUUAUUUAUUUAUUUUUCUUCACAGUUUCUUCUGGCUGAAAACCUGGUAUUGCCAUACUGUUAACCAAGCCGCAAGGGUGUCUCAGAAAGAGAAACCCAAUCCAAAACACAUUCUUAGAACUGCAUGAAACUGCAUGAAAAAGGAAGACUGAAAUACAUAUGCAGAAGAAGGAAUUGUACCUUUUACACAGCAAUCUAUUGGUUGGAAUAUGAUGGUGUGGUUUUCACAGAAAAGAAGUUUCUUCAGGCAGAAUAUGACAGCUACUAGCUCCUCUGCUUGUUUUUGUCAGGUUUUUCUACAGAAGGACCACUGGGUUAGGCAGCCUUAGCACUGCCAGAUUUAGACUGAAAUGAAUGGGAAUAGUUUUCUACCUCAAAAGAAUCACGUUAAUGAAAGAGCCAUCUACAGUGAAUCAACAGGAAAAGUCACAGGGAAGAAAGAAAAAGGACUCCAUCAGGCAUUUUCAAGCAAGAUCAGCUUACAAGACUGAGAUGAAGAGCACAAUCAAAAACAAAUGUCAUUUGAAGAUAGGUAAAAGCCGAAGAGCUAUCAGGGCAGGAAACACUCUAUCAGAAAGGAACAAAAAUGCAACCAGGGCCACAGCCUUGAAGCUUGUAAGAACUUUACUCUCAUUCUUCAGUUUGGCGCUAAAGCGAAAAGGCCUGUCUAAAUGUUUGAGCAUAGAAAAUCAUUAUUUUCCUACACUCUGGUUAAAAUCACAGUGCGAGCCAGCCAAGCAUGAGCCAGUUCUGACUGAGAUUUUUAGUGGGCCUGACUGAAGGUCCCUCAGGCUUUUUGGUCAGUGCAACAUCCGAAAGAAACACAGAAUAAACCAUUAUGCUUUAUACA
Molecule: long non-coding RNA, 874 nt
Organism: Anser brachyrhynchus (Pink-footed goose)
Lineage: Eukaryota; Metazoa; Chordata; Aves; Anseriformes; Anatidae
Source: Ensembl